UACGGGGGGAGCAAGCGUUGUUCGGAUUUACUGGGCGUAAAGGGCGCGUAGGCGGUCGUGACAAGUCACUUGUGAAAUCUCCGGGCUUAACUCGGAACGGUCAAGUUAUACUGUCGGACUAGAGUACAGAAGGGGCAACUGGAAUUCUCGGUGUAGCGGUGAAAUGCGUAGAUAUCGAGAGGAACACCUGCGGCGAAGGCGGGUUGCUGGGCUGAUACUGACGCUGAGGCGCGAAAGCCAGGGGAGCGAACGGG
RNAcentral lists this ribosomal RNA (254 nucleotides) under uncultured bacterium. RNAcentral describes it as "partial 16S ribosomal RNA". It matches the Rfam family "Bacterial small subunit ribosomal RNA", at positions 524 to 776 of the family's 1533-position model. The record is from RNAcentral.